UCUCGCAUGGACGAAGUCUGACGGAGCACGCCGCGUGAGCGAUGAAGGCCUUCGGGUCGUAAAGCUCUGUUGUUAGGGAAGAACAAGUACCGGAGUAACUGCCGGUACCUUGACGGUACCUAACCAGAAAGCCACGGCUAACUACGUGCCAGCAGCCGCGGUAAUACGUAGGUGGCAAGCGUUGUCCGGAAUUAUUGGGCGUAAAGCGCGCGCAGGUGGUCCUUUAAGUCUGAUGUGAAAGCCCACGGCUCAACCGUGGAGGGUCAUUGGAAACUGGGGAACUUGAGUGCAGAAGAGGAAAGUGGAAUUCCACGUGUAGCGGUGAAAUGCGUAGAGAUGUGGAGGAACACCAGUGGCGAAGGCGACUUUCUGGUCUGUAACUGACACUGAGGCGCGAAAGCGUGGGGAGCGAACAGGAUUAGAUACCCUGGUAGUCCACGCCGUAAACGAUGAGUGCUAAGUGUUAGAGGGUUUCCGCCCUUUAGUGCUGCAGCAAACGCAUUAAGCACUCCGCCUGGGGAGUACGGCCGCAAGGCUGAAACUCAAAUGAAAUUGACGGA
RNAcentral lists this ribosomal RNA (560 nucleotides) under Mesobacillus fermenti. RNAcentral describes it as "bacterial SSU rRNA". It matches the Rfam family "Bacterial small subunit ribosomal RNA", at positions 364 to 917 of the family's 1533-position model. The record is from RNAcentral. Lineage: Bacteria; Bacillati; Bacillota; Bacilli; Caryophanales; Bacillaceae.